GAUGAAGAACGUAGCGAAAUGCGAUACGUAAUGUGAAUUGCAGAAUUCAGUGAAUCAUCGAGUCUUUGAACGCACAUUGCGCCCCCUGGUAUUCCGGGGGGCAUGCCUGUCCGAGCGUCAUUGCUGCCCUCAAGCACGGCUUGUGUGUUGGGCCUCCGUCCUCCUCCCGGGGUACGGGCCCGAAAGCAGCGGCGGCACCGCGUCCGGUCCUCGAGCGUAUGGGGCUUCGUCACCCGCUCUUGUAGGCCCGGCCGGCGCUUGCCGACACAUCAAUCUUUUUUCCAGGUUGACCUCGGAUCAGGUAGGGAUACCCGCUGAACUUAAGCAUAUCAAUAAGCGGAGGA
RNAcentral lists this unclassified non-coding RNA (344 nucleotides) under soil metagenome. Its description in RNAcentral is "partial contains 5.8S ribosomal RNA, internal transcribed spacer 2, and large subunit ribosomal RNA". The stretch from base 1 to 120 matches the Rfam family "5.8S ribosomal RNA", at positions 35 to 154 of the family's 154-position model. The record is from RNAcentral.